Molecule: ribosomal RNA, 1642 nt
Filed under: Citrobacter portucalensis
Lineage: Bacteria; Pseudomonadati; Pseudomonadota; Gammaproteobacteria; Enterobacterales; Enterobacteriaceae
Description: partial 23S ribosomal RNA
Rfam family: Bacterial large subunit ribosomal RNA
Source: RNAcentral
GGUUAAGCGACUAAGCGUACACGGUGGAUGCCCUGGCAGUCAGAGGCGAUGAAGGACGUGCUAAUCUGCGAUAAGCGUCGGUAAGGUGAUAUGAACCGUUAUAACCGGCGAUUUCCGAAUGGGGAAACCCAGUGUGAUUCGUCACACUAUCAUUACGUGAAUACAUAGCGUAAUGAAGCGAACCGGGGGAACUGAAACAUCUAAGUACCCCGAGGAAAAGAAAUCAACCGAGAUUCCCCCAGUAGCGGCGAGCGAACGGGGAGCAGCCCAGAGUCUGAAUCAGCAUGUGUGUUAGUGGAAGCGUCUGGAAAGUCGCACGAUACAGGGUGAAAGUCCCGUACACAAAAGUGCAUGUGUUGUGAACUCGAAGAGUAGGGCGGGACACGUGGUAUCCUGUCUGAAUAUGGGGGGACCAUCCUCCAAGGCUAAAUACUCCUGACUGACCGAUAGUGAACCAGUACCGUGAGGGAAAGGCGAAAAGAACCCCGGCGAGGGGAGUGAAAAAGAACCUGAAACCGUGUACGUACAAGCAGUGGGAGCACCCUUUGUGGUGUGACUGCGUACCUUUUGUAUAAUGGGUCAGCGACUUAUAUUCUGUAGCAAGGUUAACCGAAUAGGGGAGCCGAAGGGAAACCGAGUCUUAACUGGGCGUUAAGUUGCAGGGUAUAGACCCGAAACCCGGUGAUCUAGCCAUGGGCAGGUUGAAGGUUGGGUAACACUAACUGGAGGACCGAACCGACUAAUGUUGAAAAAUUAGCGGAUGACUUGUGGCUGGGGGUGAAAGGCCAAUCAAACCGGGAGAUAGCUGGUUCUCCCCGAAAGCUAUUUAGGUAGCGCCUCGUGAAUUCAUCUUCGGGGGUAGAGCACUGUUUCGGCUAGGGGGUCAUCCCGACUUACCAACCCGAUGCAAACUGCGAAUACCGAAGAAUGUUAUCACGGGAGACACACGGCGGGUGCUAACGUCCGUCGUGAAGAGGGAAACAACCCAGACCGCCAGCUAAGGUCCCAAAGUCAUGGUUAAGUGGGAAACGAUGUGGGAAGGCACAGACAGCCAGGAUGUUGGCUUAGAAGCAGCCAUCAUUUAAAGAAAGCGUAAUAGCUCACUGGUCGAGUCGGCCUGCGCGGAAGAUGUAACGGGGCUAAACCAUGCACCGAAGCUGCGGCAGCGACACUAUGUGUUGUUGGGUAGGGGAGCGUUCUGUAAGCCGUUGAAGGUGUAUCGUGAGGUAUGCUGGAGGUAUCAGAAGUGCGAAUGCUGACAUAAGUAACGAUAAUGCGGGUGAAAAACCCGCACGCCGGAAGACCAAGGGUUCCUGUCCAACGUUAAUCGGGGCAGGGUGAGUCGACCCCUAAGGCGAGGCCGAAAGGCGUAGUCGAUGGGAAACAGGUUAAUAUUCCUGUACUUGGUGUUACUGCGAAGGGGGGACGGAGAAGGCUAUGUUAGCCGGGCGACGGUUGUCCCGGUUUAAGCAUGUAGGCGGAGGUUCCAGGUAAAUCCGGUACCUUAUUAACGCUGAGGUGUGAUGACGAGGCACUACGGUGCUGAAGUAACAAAUGCCCUGCUUCCAGGAAAAGCCUCUAAGCAUCAGGUAACACGAAAUCGUACCCCAAACCGACACAGGUGGUCAGGUAGAGAAUACCA